Molecule: long non-coding RNA, 1445 nt
Organism: Oryzias melastigma (Indian medaka)
Lineage: Eukaryota; Metazoa; Chordata; Actinopteri; Beloniformes; Adrianichthyidae
Exons: 2
Source: RefSeq, a predicted model, not a curated record
GGAUUUGAUGAGCCGGCAUGUAUGCCAAGCGAAAUGCAUCAUAAACCACCAGGAAAAAACGAAGAAAAUUACGGCGUUUUAGCCACCAAAACCACCAUUUGUUAUGCACCUUUUAAAAAUGGCAUGUAAUUGACGCUGAGUGGUAUGGCAAGCCAAAGGGGCUAAUAAUCGCCAGGUAAAGCGCCGUAAAAAAUGACGUAUUGGCCAUGAAAAACGCAACUUUUUCCUUACCCUUUAAUUUCUGGAUAAUCUUGGUUGGAACGUUUUAGAUAUUGAUGCCAAACAAUUUAAUUUCGAUUUCUGAGUUUAGAUAGAAAGUACAGUUGAGCGCUAAAAGCAGUCUGGUAACACAAGAAAAGUUGCAUGUGGAACCUAAGGUUGGGUACCGAAGUUCAGUUCCAAGUAGGAACCGUUAUGAUUUUCGCGGUUCUACCGAAACCGAAAGAAGCUGCUGCAAACGGUGUCAGUGGUUAGUUUCAUUGAACAUCUGUUGGUCUUUGUACAUGUCAAUCACUUCUACUCUCUUCAGUACUUUGAAGUUCUAGCCAAUCCCAUUGCCUUUCCUGCAAUAGUGGGCGGUCUCAUAUAAAACCAUUGACUGGGUGAGCACACGAACACGCGCAGCGCUCGAGUGUCUGGCUGCAUUUCACAAAAGAUCAAUUUGGCAGGUCGCUGCGUUGCAUCAACCAAUCAGGAACUCAGCUUUGGACAGCGCGGUGGUUCUCUGGCUGGAGGCUCCCGGACUACAGCGGCGCUCACGAGCUCCACCGACCGCGAGAGAGACAACCGCUGAGGGGAGCGGGGAGCGCGGGCAGCCAGCUCGGGUCUCCUGAACUGUGAUAUUUUAUUUAUUUUCAUUGAGACUAGGGCUGUGGAUCAUUGCUAAGGUGGCAAUCCAAUUCGAUUCACAAAUCGAACCACGACACAGAAACAGCGGAAGCGACUGUAAUUCCAACACACCUCCCCGAGUAAGAUUAAAACCCUGUAACCCCUCAGACAAGCUCAGGAUCACAUGUUUAACAGGUCCCGAGCUGCAAAUUCGCUAUGCAGCGAAAGAGGGGAGGACCGCCACUUUGUGGCUGGGAGGUUGUGGAGCUCUGAUUUAAUGGGAACAGCCAGCACGUCAAAAAACGACACUCAAAACGUCACUUUUUGAUGGAGGUCUUGACAACCGCUUUUGCACUGGAACACCCCCCACCCCCGGGGCCGUAAGGUUGGGGACCACUGCUGUAGAUUGCGGCUGUGACCUAGAAGUUGAUGCUAGGCCACACUCCCUUCUGUGACAGUCAUGAACGGUGUUAUAGAGGCUUGGUUUUGAAUACGCUUGAACAGCAUACUGGAUGCGCGGUUUUGAACUCGAUAAAAUGCUGCUUUAUUCACCCAUCUUGGUAGAAGACAAAAUGGCAUGAACUAGGUGCUACUUUAAAAAAACAAAACAAAAAAAA